This 354-nucleotide unclassified non-coding RNA is filed under the name Athalia rosae (coleseed sawfly). RNAcentral describes it as "misc RNA ENSAEAG00005009928.1". Lineage: Eukaryota; Metazoa; Arthropoda; Insecta; Hymenoptera; Athaliidae. The record is from RNAcentral.
GGCAACUAUAAGACGUGGGGUAGUGCUGGCUCAUCAUAUGAAAAACUGAUAAAUCCGAUGGGAAAUAAAGUGAGAAAAAUUUAUUGUUUCAGUUUACGUUAACAACGUCAUAUGUGUGUUUCGAAUGCGACUGCCUUCAGUUGAGUAGGUACGUGAGCAUUCAUAACUUAUUGCUUCGUGAGCACCGGAGCAGCUCUGCGAGUAUGACGCGUUCUACGCACCCGAACAAGCAUUGAAGUCUCCGAACCCGUUUUCUGACUUCUCACGCAGACGCCGUCGCGCGCGGGUUCCGAGGCGGUUUCUCUAUAGAUAUAAUGCCAACGCAGAACCUGCACUGUACGGCUAGCAGCUAGG